CAUUAUGUUGUGCUUGAGAAGAAAACCCAUGAAGCUGAACAAAAUUGCAGUCAUAACAGACACUGGUGUCACGCAAAUGGCACCCAUGCCAGUGUCACAUAAAAGCAUCCAUUACACUCUUGAAGUGGUUGGCAUUAGGAAGGGCAUCCA
Molecule: long non-coding RNA, 150 nt
Organism: Octopus sinensis (East Asian common octopus)
Lineage: Eukaryota; Metazoa; Mollusca; Cephalopoda; Octopoda; Octopodidae
Exons: 3
Source: RefSeq, a predicted model, not a curated record